AUACGUAGGGUGCGAGCGUUGUCCGGAAUUACUGGGCGUAAAGAGCUCGUAGGUGGUUUGUCGCGUCGUCUGUGAAAUUCCGGGGCUUAACUCCGGGCGUGCAGGCGAUACGGGCAUAACUUGAGUACUGUAGGGGAGACUGGAAUUCCUGGUGUAGCGGUGAAAUGCGCAGAUAUCAGGAGGAACACCGGUGGCGAAGGCGGGUCUCUGGGCAGUAACUGACGCUGAGGAGCGAAAGCAUGGGUAGCGAACAGGAUUAGUUACCCUGGUAGUCCAUGCUGUAAACGGUGGGCGCUAGGUGUAGGGGUCUUCCACGACUUCUGUGCCGUAGCUAACGCAUUAAGCGCCCCGCCUGGGGAGUACGGCCGCAAGGCUAAAACUCAAAGGAAUUGACGGGG
This 398-nucleotide ribosomal RNA is filed under the name uncultured bacterium. RNAcentral's name for it is "partial 16S ribosomal RNA". It matches the Rfam family "Bacterial small subunit ribosomal RNA", at positions 523 to 918 of the family's 1533-position model. The record is from RNAcentral.